This 253-nucleotide ribosomal RNA is filed under the name uncultured bacterium. RNAcentral's name for it is "partial 16S ribosomal RNA". It matches the Rfam family "Bacterial small subunit ribosomal RNA", at positions 524 to 776 of the family's 1533-position model. The record is from RNAcentral.
UACGGAGGUGGCUAGCGUUGUUCGGAAUUACUGGGCGUAAAGGGCGUGUAGGCGGCUUGCCAAGUCAGGCGUGAAAGCCCCGGGCUUAACCUGGGAACUGCGUUUGAGACUGGCAGGCUAGAGGUUGGAAGAGGAGAGUGGAAUUCCCAGUGUAGAGGUGAAAUUCGUAGAUAUUGGGAAGAACACAGGUGGCGAUGGCGGCUCUCUGGUCCACACCUGACGCUGAGGCGCGAAAGCGUGGGGAGCAAACAGG